GUAGUUGGUUCAAUGGCAGGUGAGUGGAUGGGAGUACAGCAGUACUUUGAUCUUGAUAUGAAUUUCCUUUUCGGCCA
RNAcentral lists this transfer RNA (77 nucleotides) under Shewanella putrefaciens. RNAcentral describes it as "tRNA-Met". Lineage: Bacteria; Pseudomonadati; Pseudomonadota; Gammaproteobacteria; Alteromonadales; Shewanellaceae. The record is from RNAcentral.